AUGCGCCCGCCCAGGCCGGGGAAGGUGGCUGCCUUUGGGAAGCGGGAACUUGUAGGAAGAGCCGCGGUGCGGUUCAGAGCGCCUUGGCUGGACUCCGUGCGCCCUGCGCUACCCUAUCGCCUCCCACGGACAGAGACGGCUCCUCUGGUUGCCUGGGUGACUGAGGCGGGAGGCUGGUGGCUAGCAGUCAUGCGGAGGACCUGGUCCCCAUACUGCCAUGUGCCUACAUGCAGGACUGGGUCUAUCGUGUAUUCCUAGCUCUUGGGUUUUUUGUUGUUGCUGUUUUCUCCCCGUAGCUCUUUUGAAUUGCCAGCAGUGCCUAAAACAUGUUUGUUCUCUUUCUUGCAGAUUAAGACAUUUGUUCCAUGCAUCCAAUAAGAGUGUGUUCCUCGGUGGGAUUUUGAUAGUGGCUUGCAUAUCCCAGGAAACUCUUGUAGUGCAUCAGCGAAUUCACACAAGCAGAAGUCCUAUGAAUGUGGUGAAUAUGGGAAAACUUUUCUCAACUCACCUCUAGGCUAUCAGAGAAUUCACGUGGGAAAACCAAAUGAAUGUGGGAAAGCUUAUGCUGGUAACUCAAGAUCCAAGGUUCAUCACAGAAAUCACAUUGGAGAGAUCCUGUCAAUGUAAUGAAUGUGAGAAAAUUUUGUCCAAGGCAGGUCUGUAUCUGAACCUGCUCAGAGGAGAAACUCUAUGAAUGUAACAGAUGUGGAAAAAUGUGAAAACUGUGGGAAAACUGUUGUCCAAAAGGCAGCUGUCAGAAUGAUCAGAGCAGAAUGCAUGCCAGAGAGAUAACUCAUCUUGAUGCAAUGGUGGCAAAACUGUCAUGAGUGUUAUUUUUUUUCAAAUUUUUUUUGUCUUUUUCUUUUUUAUCGGUACCAGGAAUCAAACUCACGACUGCCUGCUUGCAAGGCAGGUGCUUAUGCCGCUGAGCUAAAUCCCCAGCCCCUGAGUGUUAUUUUUUUAAAGAGAAAUAUGUUGCUGUAGUUGUUUUUUCUAAACUAAGACAUCAGUAUUCAGGUUUAAGAGUAAUGUUUGCACUUUGUGGUAAGUAAAUGGGCUUGGGGUGGCAGUUUGAGCACUCAUUCCUAAAAGUUCACCAUCGCAUAACACUGGUUAAACUUGCAUCAUAUUCAGCUAAUGGUUUGUUCAGCAUAAAGGAAGUAAAAUCAGUUUCGAAACCUUGACCACAAAAAAAUUCUCUUAUCCCUAGGCAUGUUGCUUUCUCCAAGUUUAAUCUGACAGUGAACAUGAGUCAGAUGACUUUUUUGUAAACAUUUUACUAGUCCCUGUAUCUUGUUUAUAUUAUAGGAAGGAAUACUGAGGAACUAAAUGAUGGCAUAUGUUUGUUUAGCAGUCAUUGGAGAAUAAUUUCUUUGAAGCUACAUGGUUAUCAAUUUUGUGACAUCUGCCAAAAAGAGCCAAGAAUAAGAGCCACCUUGAUAAGAGUUUUGUCACAUCAUCAAGCUGAAACACCAAGGACUGUCAUUAUACCUGGCAGGAAGGUGCCAGCAGCUCAGGGUAUAUUUUGGCCCCUCCUUGGUCUUGACAUCUUGGUACAACCUGAACAUAUGCCUCAGUACACAAAGAAAAAUGGAGGCCAAAGUACGUGCUUUUCUACAAUUUUCAGAAAAAAUGUAAAUGAAUUGACAAUCUGAAGUGUUAAUGAAAAUGUAAAAUUUUAUUAAAAGUUUAAAAAUUUGGAGUAAAAAACCCAAAAAGUAUAAUUGUUAUCAAAAAGAGAGGAAAGGAAGAUGGUCUAAGGGAUAUAACUGCAUGUAUGUUUGAGUGUGUAGGAUGGAAAUCUGUAUUACUGAACUGUUGUUGGAUCAUUGAUCGGCAUUGUGUGCAAUCUCAUUGUAUGAAUGUUCACUUUACAUGCUUUAAUUUUAUAAUUUGAACAACUAUUUCAAAGAUGACAAUAUGUAACCUAUUAACUAGUGAUCUUACUGUAUUUUUUCCUUGAAAUUCUGUAUUAUUUGUACUCUUUUACUGCUGUUUUAUUUCCUUUCUUUUUUUUUUCUCUCUUUAAAUAAUAAAAAAAGAAAAAAGUUUAAAAA
Molecule: long non-coding RNA, 2057 nt
Organism: Cavia porcellus (domestic guinea pig)
Lineage: Eukaryota; Metazoa; Chordata; Mammalia; Rodentia; Caviidae
Exons: 2
Source: RefSeq, a predicted model, not a curated record